AGAGCGAACGCUGGCGGCGUGCUUAACACAUGCAAGUCGAACGCGCAGCAUUCUGUAGCAAUACAGGGUGUGGGCGCGUGGCGAACGGGUGCGUAACACGUGGAUAACCUUCCUUCAGGUGGGGAAUAACCCAGUGAAAAUUGGGCUAAUACCGCAUAACAAAACGAUGAGACAUCUUGUUGUUUUCAAAGGCGCAAGUCGCCAGAAGAGGGAUCCGCGGCCGAUUAGCUUGUUGGCGAGGUAAUGGCUCACCAAGGCAAUGAUCGGUAGCCGGACUGAGAGGUUGGCCGGCCACACUGGAACUGAGACACGGUCCAGACUCCUACGGGAGGCAGCAGUGGGGAAUCUUGCACAAUGGGCGAAAGCCUGAUGCAGCAACGCCGCGUGGGGAUGAAGCUUCUCGGAGUGUAAACCCUUUCGACCCGGAAGAAGCCCGCAAGGAUUUGACGGUACGGGUAUAAGAAGCCCGGCUAACUACGUGCCAGCAGCCGCGGUAAUC
RNAcentral lists this ribosomal RNA (499 nucleotides) under uncultured bacterium. RNAcentral describes it as "SSU rRNA". It matches the Rfam family "Bacterial small subunit ribosomal RNA", at positions 26 to 525 of the family's 1533-position model. The record is from RNAcentral.